RNAcentral lists this ribosomal RNA (495 nucleotides) under uncultured Acidobacteriota bacterium. RNAcentral's name for it is "bacterial SSU rRNA". It matches the Rfam family "Bacterial small subunit ribosomal RNA", at positions 9 to 473 of the family's 1533-position model. Lineage: Bacteria; Pseudomonadati; Acidobacteriota. The record is from RNAcentral.
GAGUUUGAUCCUGGCUCAGAAUCAACGCUGGCGGCGUGCCUAACACAUGCAAGUCGAACGCGGUUUCUUCUGCUUCGCAAGAAGUAGUUGGAACUGAGUGGCGAACGGGUGAGUAACACGUGGGUGACCUACCUUCGAGUGGGGGAUAACGUCCCGAAAGGGACGCUAAUACCGCAUGACAUCCUGCCUUUGAACAGGCGGAGAUCAAAGCUGGGGAUCGCAAGACCCGGCGCUUGAUGAGGGGCCCGCGUCCGAUUAGCUAGUUGGUGAGGUAAUGGCUCACCAAGGCAACGAUCGGUAUCCGGCCUGAGAGGGCGGACGGACACACUGGGACUGAGACACGGCCCAGACUCCUACGGGAGGCAGCAGUGGGGAAUUGUUCGCAAUGGGCGCAAGCCUGACGACGCAACGCCGCGUGGAGGAUGAAGGUCUUCGGAUUGGUAAACUCCUGUUGCCAGGGACGAAUGGCUCCGACCUAAUACGUCGGAGUAUGAC